RNA transcript from Lucilia cuprina (Australian sheep blowfly), 971 nucleotides. RefSeq lists it as uncharacterized. The record is from RefSeq and is a predicted model, not a curated record. NCBI's taxonomy places the organism in Eukaryota, Metazoa, Arthropoda, Insecta, Diptera, Calliphoridae. The transcript is spliced from 4 exons.
UGCUGUCAAAAAACUCAUUAUAUUCACUAAAUAUAAGAAAAUAUCCAUAAAUUGGUAAAAAUUUCUUUAGGAAAGCAAAAACAACUUUCGUGAGAGUUUCUAUCCUAAUAUUUUUAUUCUCAAAGUCUCGCUUCUAUGUUGUGUUCUCCAAAGUCUUUCAGUUGCGGUAUAAUUAUAAUUAAAUCUAGAGGUGGUGUAGGUUUUUUUUACUAAAAUUUAUAAAAAAAAAAGUUUUCUUUAAAAAUUAAAUUAAAUAUAUAAAAUUAGCAGUAAUUCAUGGUAUAUUUUGUAAAUUUGUGGUUGUUUCUUUAAUAGUAAAUUACUAUCAACGCUGUGACUUGAGUAUUAUUAUAUUGUGUGCUGUGUUGUGUUUGAUUUGUUUAUUAUUUCAGUGUUAUUAACAGAAAAAGGAUUUAACAAGCACUAAAAAUUAGGUGCAAUUAAAAAAAGUAUUAUUUUCAGUUCCAUUUUUUUAUAAUUUAGUUAUGCUUUUUACGCGUAGACGGACUUUCAUAAAAAGUUAAAAGAAAAUUGUUACAAAAAUUAGAGAUGCAGUAUUUACAAAAACACUCCAAAAUUUAAUUAAAGAAAUUGCAACAAUUAAACUAGUUUAAAGAAAAAUAUAUAAAACAUUUAUUCAAAGCAUUACCACUGUCAUCAUCAUCAUUAUCAUUAUUAAAAUAAUGUUAGUUAAUUUGCUCUGAAAUUUUAAAACAAAGUGUUUUUUAUGUGUUAUAGCAUCAAUCACUCACUAAUCAAAUAAUUAGAGGAAAGAAAAGCUGUGCUUUUUUUUAAAUUAUUAUUGCUCGAAAAUUAAAAUUUUUAAAUAUAAAAAUAAAAAAGUAAAUUACAAAACGUACACGCUCUAUUAUGUAUGAAAGUUAUAGAUUUUUAAAUUCACUUUUUCGCGCCACAAUCAUUCCCGGAGUAUUUAUUAUAAUUUGGCUAACUGGGUUGUAAGUAUUGCUCUC